RNAcentral lists this ribosomal RNA (796 nucleotides) under uncultured bacterium. RNAcentral describes it as "bacterial SSU rRNA". It matches the Rfam family "Bacterial small subunit ribosomal RNA", at positions 62 to 853 of the family's 1533-position model. The record is from RNAcentral.
UCGAGGGGCAGCACGAUGUAGCAAUACAUUGGUGGCGACCGGCGCACGGGUGAGUAACGCGUAUGCAACCUACCUAUCAGAGGGGAAUAACCCGGCGAAAGUCGGACUAAUACCGCAUAAAACAGGGGUUCCACAUGGAAAUAUUUGUUAAAGAAUUAUCGCUGAUAGAUGGGCAUGCGUUCCAUUAGAUAGUUGGUGAGGUAACGGCUCACCAAGUCCACGAUGGAUAGGGGUUCUGAGAGGAAGGUCCCCCACACUGGUACUGAGACACGGACCAGACUCCUACGGGAGGCAGCAGUGAGGAAUAUUGGUCAAUGGGCGAGAGCCUGAACCAGCCAAGUCGCGUGAAGGAUGAAGGAUCUAUGGUUUGUAAACUUCUUUUAUAUGGGAAUAAAGUGAGGAACGUGUUCCUUUUUGUAUGUACCAUAUGAAUAAGCAUCGGCUAACUCCGUGCCAGCAGCCGCGGUAAUACGGAGGAUGCGAGCGUUAUCCGGAUUUAUUGGGUUUAAAGGGUGCGUAGGUGGUUAAUUAAGUCAGCGGUGAAAGUUUGUGGCUCAACCAUAAAAUUGCCGUUGAAACUGGUUGACUUGAGUAUAUUUGAGGUAGGCGGAAUGCGUGGUGUAGCGGUGAAAUGCAUAGAUAUCACGCAGAACUCCGAUUGCGAAGGCAGCUUACUAAACUAUAACUGACACUGAAGCACGAAAGCGUGGGGAUCAAACAGGAUUAGAUACCCUGGUAGUCCACGCAGUAAACGAUGAUUACUAGCUGUUUGCGAUACACAGUAAGCGGCACAGCG